CAGAGCUAUCAUGCAUCUGUUCAAGGCUCUUCCUUAGAGAUGAGUCAGACUUUUCUACUUAGUCUGCUCUAGGUUGGAGUAACAGCAACAGUCCAGGACUGCCUAACAGCCAGGCGUCCAUAACAAUAUGCUUUCUCUCCCCUCUAGCCUCUCACUGUCCUGGCAUUUCCUCUACGUUCAUGUCUUGCUAGAACGGUGUGAAUUGACAGAAUAUCUGCGGGGUUUUACGUAGUAUAUGGCUGCCCACAAGAUGUUUACUGAGUACCAUCUAUGUUCCAGGCACUCGACAUGGGAAUACCCAAAGCUGACCAGGAAUUUGUUCUCAAAGUGCUCACAGGGACCUAGACAAAUGCACAGGAACUUAGAAUCCAACCUGAACCAAACCCAGGAAGGCUUCCUGAAAGAGGCAAUCUCAAAAUGAAGACAAAAUCACAUUUAGAAUGGAUGAAUAAUAAGGUCCUAAUAUAUAGCACAGGGAACUAUAUUCAAUAUCCUGUGAUAAACCAUAAUGGAAAAGAAUGUUAAUAAAA
Molecule: long non-coding RNA, 530 nt
Organism: Bos taurus (domestic cattle)
Lineage: Eukaryota; Metazoa; Chordata; Mammalia; Artiodactyla; Bovidae
Source: Ensembl